This 72-nucleotide transfer RNA is filed under the name Candidatus Roizmanbacteria bacterium RIFCSPHIGHO2_01_FULL_39_12c. Its description in RNAcentral is "tRNA-Arg". It matches the Rfam family "tRNA". Rfam says of the family: Transfer RNA (tRNA) molecules are approximately 80 nucleotides in length. Their secondary structure includes four short double-helical elements and three loops (D, anti-codon, and T loops). RNAcentral also lists the same sequence under 1 other name. The record is from RNAcentral. Lineage: Bacteria; Candidatus Roizmaniibacteriota.
GCCUCUAUAGCUCAAUGGACAGAGCGUCAGUUUCCGGAACUGGAUAUGGGGGUUCAAUUCCCUCUAGAGGCA